CUCAGUGAUACAUACAUACGUACAGAGAGUUAUUUUCCUUCACUUACAUUUUCUUUUCCAGUGAUGGAUUAAGCAUGUGCAUUUAUGUGUCAAAAUAUGUACCUCUAGUUCUGUAAAGGAUGCUUCGGAAGUGAUGGAUUGAGGUGCACACAUAAUGACCUGUUCCAGUCAGAAACUGAGAGCCUCAGAAGGAGUUGCCAACCAGAUCUAUAGAAUGAGACAAGGGAAUGACUGGAAUAGAUUUACUUCUGCCCUUCAGCAGCAAGGAAACUCACUACCAAGAGAGCAGAUGAGCAUAAGCCUUCCCUGCCAGAUGGUUACCUGCCCAGUGCCUCCACCAGCAUGUUCAAACCACACCAGCUUCAUCUGCGUUCUUUACCUGGGUAUGAUGGUAGGUAGGCCAUAUUUAUGAUCAUUCCUGAAAGAGCAUUUCUGAGCUGAAGAGAUUUUUGAAGAACUCUGUGAAGACUCCACUUUGUAUUAAUAGUACUGUACAUGCAGAGAUUGUGCUUUGUGGUAUUUUCACUGAUUUUUUUAUUAGGAAGAUGCCAGGACUUACUAAUUACUGUCCUUUCUUGAAUCUGUUGGCACUUUAUAUAUACAGUGUCACAGACUGAAGGCUAUCAAGUCAGAUAAGUUCUGUCCUGUUCUGCCUGCCUUAAUGCCUUUGUUGUUGUUGUUAUUAUUAUUAUUAUUAUUAUUAUUAUUAUUAUUAUUAUUUUACUGCUGGUCAUGUUAUUCUUCAUCACUGCUUAUCAUCUUAUAUAACAGCUGUAUUGCUCUGGCUGGCAGAAUAGAGGGCCUCAUGUUCCUAUGUGCCAUUUAUCUCUGCUGAUAUUUUGUGAGUGAUGAAAGCCACCAUAAAUGUGUAUUUGUUUUCUUUGUAUGAUGAAUCCCUGCUUCUCCACAAAAGUCUUGUGCUCAUGGUGUUCACUAUUUAACAAAGUGAGUCAGGAUACAGUUAACAGCUGUGUGACUGACUGCUUGCUAGAGUAGAUAAGUAAAUACUGAUCCUUCAAUUUUCUACUUUCUCUGCCCUGAUAUUCUUAUACUGCAAUCUCCUGGCGCUUCUAGGAACAUUAUUGAUGAGGGAACACUUCAAUUCCUUUCAAAAGCAGUGCAUAUAAUUGAGAGUACAGAAUCAAGAGCUGUGGGUUUUUAGAGUUUAUAAAAAGUGUAGGGAUUGAUUAAAAACAGAUUCUGUUCAGGUCUAUGUGGAUGUUGCAAAAUAAAGAGAAAAAUCACAGAGUUGCUGAGAAUCCCAGGUACUUCUAGAAAUGAAAAAUAGAGAAGAAGGUCAAAAUGGAUGAACGUAGUUGAAAAGAUUAACCUCCCUCAGACACCCCAGCCCACCCACCAGAGAACACAGCCGUUUUGGGCUUUGCAAGGACCACAUGCAGCAACUGCAGUGAGCCUGUUCUCCUUUCAGGCAAGCCCUGAAAUUCCAGGGCUUGAUGAACAGUAUUAUGAAUGUAGCUCUACUGAGAGACAGUAAAGAACACGUCUCACUGAAGAUGUGGAAUAGCACACUGAAUCAACAAAUAGGCUUCUGACUAACUGGAAGCAGUGGGGCAGAUUCUCAUUUGUUGCUCACUUAAAUAAAUCCAUGAGUAUCAAGAAUGAAGUUGUGUUUCCCAGUGGUACUGCUUCAUGAAAGGGUAUUCUAUAUCCCAAGCGUUGGGGACAUUUUGGGGGAAUGUACCUUUUUCGCAAAGCAUUUUCCAAGUUCUGGUGGCUCCAGGAUUUGUGAGAGCUCAUAUUUAUGAGUCAGUUCUCACUGCUGGCCAUCAUAAAUUAAAAAAAUAUCACAACAUCAGUUUUUGUUUCCUGGACCAACUGUGUUGUAUUGGUCUAAGUAAUAACAUUCUUUAUUCUUAAGCUAAGAGCAUUUUGUUUAUGUAUUCUCUCCGCAAGGGAAAAUAUACUUCUGCUAUCGCUGCAAAGCACAAGGGACAGUUAAAUCUAAUAAGUUAAUCUAGACUCCUAGAAACAAAAUUAAAUUUUCAAAUAAAGGCAAACUGACAGCUAAGGCAUAAAUCUUUUAUUUAAAGUAGAAAAUAAGCCCAUUCAAAUGCAAUCAGAGAAGACAGAUGUAGGUAAAAACAAGUAGAGAUAGGAUAUAUGGUGCAUAAAUUUGCUGUGUCUGUAUGAUAGAUCAAACAGAGUGACCUUAAAAAUGUUCCUAAAACAUCAGCUAAAAUAUGAAAUUUGCAUAUAUUUAAAUACUGCUUGUUAAUGGAAGAUGGACUAGAAAGGAUGUUAACACUGAAAGUAAAAUACAGCACAGGUGUAAAGUGUGCAACAGAAAGGUCACAUUAGCCAUCAAAGUGCCUGAAAUGUAAAUAUUUACUAGCUUGGAGCUGGCAGCAGGUUCUAUAAAUAAGAAAUAUUACUUUCCACUGUUUAAUAUAUCUUCUCUGGUAAAAUAUUUAUCUGAAAAAAAAUCUUGAUUCAGCAACAUUUAUAAUUAACUAAAUGUUUAACAUCAUACAUCCUCUUAGAUCCAAAUUACCUUAAUGGGACUACUCAGAGGUAAGAGAGGCACACCUCUCUGAAAGAUGUUAUCAAGAUCACAGAUAAGGUUACUAUGAAAUUUUGCCUGCCUUUGGAUUGGUGAAAGGAGGUGUUUAUACUCAGAUUUCUCAAGUAUUUUUCUUUCCUUCUGGGUGUAAAUCCACAGUAGAUUGUUGGGUUUUCUUAGGUGUGGUAUCAGAUUGCUCCUUGGAAGGUGGCAUCUAUAGCCUAUUCAGGAGAGAGAACAUAACUUGCUGCCUGAGGUUUCUUGAUUCCUGCUCUUUCAUUCUCUCCUGGAUACCUAUUCCUCUGUCACCCCAUCAUCACAGCAGGACAUAAGCCAUGCUGCUUCCCAGUAUAGGAUGUGUUUUGAUCCAGUCCUCACAGGUGUUUGCUGAAAGAAUCUGUCUGUUUUGAUCAUAUUCUCAGAAUGGGAAUAUCUCCAACUAUGUAGGCAACAGCACGGGUGCCUCUCAUUCAGCUCUGGUCUCCUUAUAGAGUUUGAGACUGUCUGGUCCAUCUGGUCGUCCCUAGAAGUACAUCAUAAUUAUCUCCUGGUUCUUAGUAAAUCUGGGUUUUCUAGAGAUUUCCACUGUAAUUGGAUCAGUCAUUAAUGUAGCCCAGAUUUCUCAUAGUAUUCUGCUGAGAUUACAUCUGUUCCAAUACCGUGACCCAGUUAGAGCCCAAUAUCUUUGUGAAUAUGAAAAAGAAAAUUGGCUAGUAGAAUGUUGCAUGUAUUUUGACAUAUCAAUGCAGUUGAAGAAAUGCAGUUAAUUCUGAUAGUAUCAUCUAGCCUCAGAGAAUAGUGUGUGGAUGUGCAAAUGACUCUAGCUCUCUAAAUGUGGACGUAGUUACCAAUAGGUGUAGGGGGAUGUAUCCUUUCAAUUUGCCUGUUUGAUGUUUUGUUCUGUUGUUUUGUUAGCUUGUUAAUGCUCUUUUCUGUGGGCUUUGUGAAAAAUUUACUUGUAAAGUGAUAGAAUUCUGAAAGAUCUUUUUUGUAUUCACUUCUAUGAAGAGUGUAAGUUCUUUCGGUCAUUGAUUAGUGACAAAUGCCAUCUAUGGAGAAAUUCUCUUAAUCUUUGGGAUGUCUCUUUUGAAGGUCACUUCCAUUUAUUAAAAGAUUGCAACUGUACACUUGAAUAUUUCAUGAAUUGUCGGUAUUGUUUCUGGCUUUUGCAAUACUUCUCUAUAGGAAAAAAAAAAAAAACCACAAAGGUCAGAUAACAGAUUUUUAAAAAGUUAUCCAGAAAGCUACAUACUGACCUAAUAAUAUGUUGACAUAGGUCAAAUUGGAUUGUUUCUGUCACAUCUGUAUUGCAUAACACCAGAUAAAUUGAGGCGUGAGUUGAUGUAUAUGGUGCAAUAUAGGAAUACGGCUUUCACACUGACAGUCAGCUACUUGUGGUUGGUAGAGUUGUGUGUGUAGACCUCUGAGAACAUCUACAAACACAUAAGGUGAAAAUACAAAAAUAAACAAUAGCAAAUAGCCAGAGGGGCUUGCAAUGAAUUUGUCUAGAGAAGAUUAAGCACUUGAUUCCCUUGAAUGUGUGGCGUGCUACAGGUCUGGAGUCACUUUUCUUUGCUCUCAAUUGCUGAGGAGUGUCAUGGUCUGAAGAAGGUGGAAUUUGGUGCAUAAUAAAAAACAUAAAUCUCUCACUGUUCCUUGCUGAGAGCUCCUCCUGCACAAGGCAGGGGUCUGUCAUUCAAUAGCAAAGUUCCUAGACUCAGUCUUCACUGAUGGUCUGUGUUUAGCUGUGUUAGGUUUGCAGUCUCACCCUGCGGGGAAUAGAAUGUUGAAGAGAAGGUCCUUCACACUGAGGGAUUACUAAAUCCAGGUCAUCUACAAAAGAUUUGGUCUGCAAUAGAGACUUUUCUAUAUUUUGUUAUAAUAAAACAUGCCUUGGCAGGAGACGUUUUAGAAAUACUAUUUUUAAGAACACAACAUUAGAGUAAAAUACUAAAUUUGCCCUGUACUCCCACCACUCUGGAAGUUGAACUCUGCUGCCAGGAGUCUAUAAACUUCAUUCACAUGCUUUUUUCUUUAAACACUGACUUGGAACAUACGGCUGCUUUUUAGGCUGGUUGGAGUUAUACAAUCAUUAGAACUUGCUUAUUUGGGGCAAUGAGGCUCCUUUGUUUGCAGAAGGCCUGAUCAAAAAAAGAUGAGCUGUUCCAGCAUGGUCUUUCUAUAGAUUAGCCACAGUAGAGUACAUGUAUAGGAGCAGCCAAAAUACAUGUAGACAAUUAGCUUUUCUACCAGAGACUAGUUUUGUUAACAUUCCCUUGAUUUGACAGCUGGAAUAGAUGAAUGUCAUUGCUGACCUUUUCAAUUUUACAGCUUCUUCACUUUCAUAAUUCUAACUCCUGCAGCUGCAGCAUGGAAAUGAACUUUAAUAAUGUUCCCCAAACUCUUGAAAAUGCAUUAGUUACAGUUAAAUUUUGUAAUACUCUAAACAAUAAGGAUCUUUUAUAUCACUGCUUCUUAAACUACGAAGUAAUUAUUAGCAAUUAAAAGAGCUGGACAUUUCCCGACUGCUUUCAUGGAGCAGAUCUGAACAAUCAGACAUUAGGUAUCCACUUUUCAUUAUGAUUUAUGAUGACUGAAAAAAUUAUUCUGCCCCGAGUUUUAAUUAUUGCUGGAAGAUAUUCUCUGGGUUCUUCUAUUAAUGUCUUUCAUUUACUUUUAGAGGGUCAAAUGCUGUUCACUUUAUUGAUAUGAAUAAUUCCACUGGAGCUAAUAAAAGUAAACAGAGAGCAGAAAAUAGUUAUACAGUCUAAAUUCAAGAGGUGCAAUUGUUUGACAUGGUGUGACAAUGUAAUGUUGUUUGAAAUGGGACUCUGCUGUUUUUAACUUAGUUAAUUAUACACUAACAUAAACAUAGAUUGUGCCCAAAUUCAAGGUAAAGAAAGGAAAAGGUUAGAGGGAAUAAUACAGCCACUGUAGAGAAUGUGAGGCUAAAUAACUUGUAUUUAAAAGUAUUAUCACAGGUCUUUUAGUCAGAUAUGUAAUGUGAUGACUAGUCCAGUUUUAACUAUCCAGAUUUAAAGCUAAAGGAUUUAAAAAUUGGGAAGCAAGGUGCAAUUGUGUAACAUAUUGAGGCCAACCUUAGAAACUGCUGGAAUCCAAAUUGUUGGUGAUGUUACUUGAUGGGCUCUAGGGUAAACUUGAGCCUAUUAGUGACUGUGUCUGCAGGACUUGUGGAGAAGCUCCCCAGUAAAAACCUCCUGCCAGACAGCCUGAUCCAAGGGGAAUCCUGGUAAAGUUCACAGUGUAUUAACCACUUUUUAAUAUAUUCUUAUAGUCCUUUUGAAAGGCUUAUUUCAAAGCUCUCGUGUAGCUAAUGGUUUGAGCCUCUUCUGAGAGUUCAAAUAUCCUAAUGAGAUUAACUCAUUAAAUAACUGCCCAUCACUUAGUUGCUGAUACUCUGGUUCAUUUGUUGCACUGGGAAGAGAGUGUAGCCCGUGCAAAUGUAGACUAUUUCUCUUUGAAUGUUUUUAAAUUAUUACAUUUUCCAUCCCAGUAUCCUUUUCUAUCAUGUAAGUAGAUUGGACUGUGCAGUAACGGUCUUUCUCCCUCCAGGCUGCUUGGGCAAAGGUGACAGGUUUUGCCACCAUGAUGUUAUCUCCUUAUUUAGGAUUGAGACUUAAGCCUCCCUGUGACUAAUUAAGUAGUUGUCUCUCAGGGAUGUACUUGUCAGUGCUCACACAACCAGAAUGGCACAGACUUCUUCCACAGAACCAGAGAAGGUAAAAAAUAAAAUAACAUCACCUUGAAUUUUACAAAUUAACCAAAAACAAUAAGGGAAGGGAAAACAGUAAGGGACGUGAAUAAUAAUAAAAAGCAAAAACCACGGCAGGUAACACAGGCUACUGCUAAACUUGCAUACUAGUUGUACGCAGUUGUUAUUGCUCACUUUAAGAUAGGUAGGGUGAAUCUUGUUCUUGCUACCUUGUUUGUAUACCAGUGGUCAGGGGAAGCCCAGGAGUCAGUGGUUCUUUGGAGAAGAGCCAGAAGGGAACUUGUUUUUGGAAAGGCUUGUGUGGGUAGCAGAUGAGCUUGGCACAGAACUGGUCAGCAGAACAGCCGGGGAAGAAUCUGGGCAGCGUGACCUGGCUUGGCUGCUGCACUAUGCUGGUUGCUCCAGUUUUAAGAAAUAAAUGCUGUGUCCCUGGACAAAGCCCACAGAUAAUGCCAAGGCCAGGAGAUUCCUCUGAAGAACUUGCUGGCAGCUUGAGAUUUUACCUUUAAUAGACCUGGAGAUUCCAAGCACGCUCGCUUACAGAAGUGCUACAAAGAAACAAAUGGCGGUAGCUGUGUAUAAUCAGCAAGUUCGUUCAUAGAUCUUAAGAUAUAAAACAUUAUCAGAUGUUAUGCUUUAAAGAAAUGUGAUGCAAUUUGUCUUAUGGUCUGUGCUUCUCAAGUGUUUGUCUACACUAAAUCUUUAUGGUUGUUUUUUUCAAAGAGCUCUGAUUUCUAGGAACUUGAAGGAUGCUCUUUAAAACUUGUCAGUGGCAUGAGUCUGUCCUGCUUUCCACGUUCUUCUGGUGAGCAAAGCUGGUCGAAAAUUAUGCAUUUGAAGAUACAAUGUGAAAGUCUUGACUACUGGUGGAGUGAAAAUAUAAUCAAAAUCUGCAAUUCAUUUUUUCCUGUUUCCAACCCAUUCUAUGGUUGGUUGAAAUAUUUAAAAUAAUGAAUUUUUGACAGCUAAAUUAGGAUAGAAAGUAAAGAAAAAGGGAAAUGUUGUCUUUUUGCAUGCAUUGGCUGUGUUUACCGGCCAUCUCUAGAGGGAGACCAAAUUGUUCUUAACUGGCUGCACUAGGACUCAGUAUAUGCUCAUCUCUAUGACUAAAACCAUCCAAACUACUGAACCUACUGAUGGAGACCCUUCUUAGGUUUGGGGCUUUGGUGUUUUUGUUGUUGAUUUGUGUUGCUUUUUUGUUUGUUUGUUUGUUCUUUUUUUGUUAGUUGUGUUUUUUAUUAUUUUUGAAUCAAAUAAGUCUUUUGAAAAAACAAAACAAAACAAUGCAUUAUUAACAUAGCUUUACUAUUUGCUCAGUCAAACUUUUAGACAUAUUGUUUGAUAUAGAUUACAGGACAGCCUUGACUGAGACCCUUAGUAUCCUAUACUGGAGCACACAUUACAUGCAAUUUUACUAUUUUUUUGUAUUGUAGGGUAAAUUGUUGUGCUGUAGAACUGUCCUCCACAUACUUGGAAUGUAAUAACUCCAAUGAAAAAGUGGAAAUGCCUCAAAUUCCUAACCGUUCUACUUGUUUAGGCCCAUUCAGAUGAAAUGGCAGUCAACAUCUGUCCAGAUGCAGUAGCAUUUGUAAGUGAAACAAAAUAGAGAGCAGCAAUACUUCACUGCUAAUUUUUACUGGCUGCAGUCUUCCUUCAAAGGCAGCAGAAGGAAAUGGAAAAGGAGGGAAAGUGCCGAAGUCACAUCUGUACCUAACUGUGACUAACAUUAUCUUUUAUGUUAGAUCAUUAGCAUACCCAGGAAAAAAACACUGGUGUUUGGUGCCAGCUGUCUGCUUAUUACAGCAAAGGAACUGGGAGAAGACACUGGGAAUGAAAUAAGCACUUAAAGGGAUACCGUACUUUUGCAUUAUUAAGGUCUUUAGGUAUUACCAGCAUUGCUUUGGGCAGGAGGCAUCUUGGUGUGGAGCUGGGAAGCAUGGGGUAAUGUCUUAGUACCACUCAGUUGUAACUUGCAGAACCUGCUGCCAAAGGGAGCCAAAGGCAGAUGCAACACUUUGUCAGAGUGUUCCAUGCCAGCAGUGGUUAUAAAGUGGUAUGGGCUGGUGAGGAAUGGAGAGAGGCCAUCAGUGGCUCACCUAUGGAUUGAUGAUUGCAGAAGAGACAUUUUGGCCGUCUGGGUCAGUGGACAGAGAGCCUGAUGUGCACAAAUACCUUGCUAAUUUAAGCAAAGGCAAAAAAAAAAAAAUUGAAGAGGGUAAAAGUGGUAGUAAGACUCGGGAUGUGCCCUGGCAGCGGGCAUCCCAGUAUAGCAUUUGGUUUGUUCAGUGAAGAAACUCGUUAAGCCCAAAGUUUGAUCAAUAUUUAAUGCAAGAGAUUGUGUUUUGAUGCUGGUUUAAAACAAAAUAGUGAAUGUGUACUCUUAUCUCUGUGCUUUUCACAGAUAUGAAUGAUGGCAGAUUUUAAUAUUACAUUCAAAGUUACAGAGGUAAAGAAUGUGUGCAGUAUAGGAUGCAGCCCAUGAUGUGGGAUGUGCUUGAGAAGUGCAUAAUAAUAAGAUCUUAUGUUAACAGCCUAAACCAUUGACUAUAUCUGCUUUGGUAUGAAGAACAGCACCACUGACUGAACUUACAUUCACAUUGUAGCUGAAGUCAGGAACAGAUUCACCACAUGACUGUUUUUAGCCGAGCAGCUUCUGAAUUAUGUGUCUUUAAUUGCUUCAGAUUCCUGUUAUUGAUCUCUCAUGUCAAAAUAAUUGAACUUUAUGGCCAAAUUCUGAUGCUUAUUGAGAAAUCAUAUAAUUACUUCCAACCAUCUGUGAGUCAAUAAAAGUUGAGUACAUACCACUACUCAGAUUGCUUGAUGCAAACAUUUCUCUCCAAGUAACCACAAGAUCUACAAUACAUUAAUAAAUCUAGCAAAGCACAGUUGUAGGUUGCAUAAUUGUAUCUCCUAAUACUUGUAAUAAUAUAAAUAUGUUAUGCAUUAGUAGAUAAAAUACCCCUACUUCAACCCCAACCCUGCAACACAGGGAGAGUGCUGUGCCUGCAGAGAGCCACCAGCACAGGUGCAGCACUGUGCUGACAUGCACAGCAGGAAUCAAAAUCUUUGUGGCCAAGCAAACACUACAAAGUACUGGGAACCAGCGUGUUUUAUCACACUGAGGCUGAUGGGGACAUGUCCUAGAAGUUCACACCUGUCUAGAAAAUCCUAUUCCACGUAUCUCUUUUUUUUUUUAGCUUUGCCUUUACUGGUUUGUUUACACCAAUGAACUGUCUGGAGCCUGUAUCCUUGCUCUUCUUCAAAGAGAGUGUUAGAGUAGACGUGCACAUGCAGUGUCUUCUUCAAAAACCUCAUACUUCUACCAUUUCACAAAACCCCAACAUUUUUGUUGCCUACAGGAUGGUGAAAAUUAAACAGUUCUAAUGCUUUUGAACAAGCUCCUUAAGAAGUGCCCUGAUAACCUGAAGCUUUUUUCUAGAAUGGUUUCGUGAAGAAUUUUCACACCUCAUUGCUGAUGGUAAUAGACUACAUAGUGUCACACACACACACAGCUGGCAAGAUACUUACUUGAGUGAUAAAAAAUGUUUUAUGUGAAGGUAAUGAAAGCUUUGUCUUGCCUACUUGAAUAGCUUUAGCUGCCAAUUUCUAGACCAAAUCCUAUCUGAGAAAGGACAUUAGCUUUACUGCAUCUUGUUUCCUAUGUAAUCAUUAUGCUGCUAGCACUGGUUUUAUUCACUCCUGUAUUUCUUUUAAUAUUGUUUUAGUAAUUCUCCUUCCUUAUGAGGAAGGGAGCAUUAAUCAGCCAAGGCAUUUAGCACCUAUUUACAUUAAUAUAUAGACAAUGCAGUGAUUUAGAAUUCUUUACACCUUUCUGCAGCUUUUUCACUAGAUUUCUUAAUGCCUUGAGGAUGCCUUUCCUCAUGACACUUUACAACAAACCUUUGCAAAAUGAAUAGCUUUCAUUAUGAAAUCAAUGAUAUUCCUUCUAAACUUCAGGGGCAAUGUCAAAGAAAAGCUACUCUAAUUGCUAAUGCUGAGAAGUUUUUAUGACCAAACUCUACUUUCCAGAUGUCAGAGCAAUGCAGUCAUCACCUUCUUCAGCACUUUUGCCCUCCCUUGUCACCGUGGUUCUCUUUCUCAAUAAUGUGAUUGUCAGCUAUGGCUUUUUCUAUUCUUACUUCUUUACUCUGCUUUCUGUUCUGAUUCAACCUUAAAGCUACCCUUUUCAGCAGAAACAGUCUGAAGUCUACAGUUGUGACUCUGCAUAGCAGGAACCUCUGACCACUGGCCUCUUCUGAAGCAUAAUUAUACAGGCAAAUUCUAAUUCUGAAGCAUAGGAAGUAGUUAAGAACUUGCACGUUUAUUUUAAUUCCAGAUGUAUAUUUUGACAUUUAUUUUUAGGAAGCUCAACUGUACAGACACAAAAUAGUGGCUGUGAUCAGCCCAGUAUUGGCUGGUCUGGGUUAGUGGGCAGAGUGCCUGUUAUUGCAUAUAAACAUGUUGCUAAUAUGGGGAAAAAAACAAAGAGGGUAAAGAUGGUAGUACUGCCUCUGCUACUGAUACAGCCCUUGUAGCCCUUGUUCUUACACAGCUUAAGAAAGCUACAAUACUGUAACAUGGAAAUUCUGCUUUGCAUGUCUGUAGGAAACGUAGACUCAUAGGUUUGAUCAAAGGCUUAUAAACUAAUAGGUUAGAAGUACUUGGCAUCUGUUCAUCAAAUGCAGGUAGUGUUUGGUCCAACAAAUGCAAGUCUCUCUUGGAGAGACAAGAGUUUUGUCUACUUCCAUUUUUGAAGUUAAUACUUACAUUUACCUCUGAAUUAUAAGAAAAUGCAACUGAAAUCCUAAAAAUUUGUCAGCGCUUUGAUAUUCUAUUGAUUGAAACCAGUUUAACUUGUUUCAUCCCUUUUUAGUACAGAAAUAGACAUCUGAGUCAUUAAUUUGUUUGCCCUCUUUGAGGCUGUUGAAAUGUAAAAGAGAUGAGUUAGCAGCCCUUGGCAGUGGGGGCAUUGAUGGAGAUGCUGACAGACUUUAUUUAUAGUGUGGCUGCACUACCAGGCAUUACUAUAGUACAAUUCAAUCAGGGAAGUUACUUUGAUUUCUUCAAGUAAUAGCUGUAGUUAAACAGCUUUCUAAAGCUCCUUGUAUCACCACAGUGCUUAGAUGAUUGAAUUUUUAUCAUAACAAAAGUAUCAUAGCAGUGGUUAUCCUUAAGCUCUGUUUCACCUCAGAGGCAUAGAAUUGUCUUAUCUCAUUCCCCGUCUUAACUACUUUCAAUGUACUGACAAGCACAACUGACCAAUUAAUAGAACAUUUUCUAGUCUUAUCUCAUUCGUUAUCCAUGAUGGUCUUCCAUGUUGUAAUUACUUUUCAAUUUUUCAUGACCCAAAACAGUAGAUGUACACAGUGAAUACAAAUAGCAAAUUGAUUAAAUGUAACAUGCAUUGUAGCACCGAAGAGAUUGUCAUUUGUUAUUAACGAGAGAGAUUUGUCAGGUUCUUCUGAAAAGGCUUGUGACACACAGCAAUCCAGACCGAAUAACUGCAAGACUGCAGCUGACCUUCAGCUCAUUAAUUGUAUGCAAGUAAAAUCGGGAAGACACACGAUUUUCAAGACAAUUUCAAAUUUCUCCAUUUCCCUUUUUUGGUGCCAUCUCAACAUUUUAAAGAUUAAUUUCAAAAAACACAAGUCAGGUUAUCAGGUAAUUUUGUGCUAAAUGCGGGGGGGUGGUGGGGGGGGGCAUUGUAAGGCACUGAAUUUCAAGGCCAAAGCCAUUUUGUUGGUGGUAAAACACUGAUUCUUACACAGAUGAAACUGAGGCCUUUGCCUGAGCCAUUGUGGCCAGCAGCUCAGUAGUCAGAGAGCUCGUGCAAGAAGUGCAAAAAAGUGGUGUUCAGGUGUUUCUGCCUGAUUUUAUCAACACACAAAAUAUAUGCUUUUCCUUUCUCAUCCUUACUGUGCCAGCUAGCUGUCAGUUAACAGACUGCUCCAAAGCCUUGCUGAAUUGCUCCUGAUCAAGUUGGUUCAUUUUACAUAAGUUAAGUAUCCAUUGACUAUGCACUGGGGAAAGUAUUUUGGUGUAGCAGGGAGAGUUUAUCAUUUUGAGAAAUCUCUUUCUUGCCAACACUUGACAAGAAGUUUAUUUGAAAUCCAAAAGCUUUUUGUGAAAUGAGAAGUUUUCUUCACUGUACCGAGAACGUCAUUGAAUUUGUUAAUGAACAGCAAAGGAAGGUUCAAAAAUGAAAAUGGCAAUGCAGGAAAUUAUUUCCCAUUCUUGAACCAAGGGAGGUCUUGUUCCUUUGGUUCCAUCAAAUCCGUAGCACUCCCUUUGGAUACAGAUAGUCUUUGUUACAGUUGAAUAGCUCCAACAGCAUCAAAUAAGCUUUGCAUCUGCUAAAGCCUGCCUCCUGGUCAGCUUGUUCUAGCCAUGGGCCAUACUCAAUUUUGAAUUACAAAAAUAGGUUUUCUUUCAAAUUAUAUGUUACAGUGUGAACAUGUAUUAUUUACCUAAGUUUAACAAAUUAACUGGAGAUCAAACUGUGCAAACCUUGCUAUUCAAUUUCUCAGAAUUCUGCUUUCAUAAAGGAAUAUAGGGAUUUUAUGGGCAUCUUCUAAAACAAAAUUUUUGAUCAUAAAGCAUCUGAAGCAUUAAAUAAAACGUUAUGAACUUGUUAUACAUCUCAAGGUGAGGAGAAUCUUUGAAAUGUAUCCUGAAAUUAGAGACUAUAUUUGCAUAAUUUAUACACUGAGUAUUCAUAAAAAUGACUACAAUUGAAAAUCACCUGUCAUCAAAAGUAAAAGCACAGAAACAAUGGCCAAGACUGAGGCAGGGCAAUAGCGUUAUGGAUGUUAUUUCCUAAAUAUUUUCUAAGGAACGGUUUCUACCAGUUACUGAGGAAAUUAAGGAAAAGUGACAAAGCAACAAUCAUUUCCAAGUAAUAGUUCUUUUUUCUUUUCAUUAUGUGUGCUGUCUGCCCUCAGAUCUCCUGCAUUGUUCAGAUUUCAAAACAUUUCCUGUUGUAAUAGACAAGCAAGAGACAUUCCACAUGGUAAGGAGGAGAGCUCUGCUCCUGCAGCAGUCUUACCUGGGGCAGCUCUGGAGUCUGCUGCUAGAUGCUGGCUCUGAAUAGCCAGGGGAGUCUUCAUUACUUAGGCAUAAUUUUUCUAGGCUCAGAACUUGGCUUGGGUAAACCUGUGAAAACUGGGCUGUAAUUUAAUUGUAACGAGCUGCUUAUUCUAUUUGUUUUCUUUUCUUGCCUCCUGACUUCCUUAGCAGGACAGGAUUACUACCACUUGCCUUUGGAGCCACUUCUGGCUCAUCUGGUUCUUCCUCUCUGCCCUGUUCCUGCCAAAGGUUGUUUCAGGAGCACCUGUUUCAUCUUCUGCAAGGAUCUCAUAAUUGAGCAUGGGUCCUGAGUAGGAUUUACACACUUCCUCUGGAAACACAGGAAGCUUGUGUCAGUUCUGACUCUUUCACAGACACAUGUCAGCUUGUCAGGGACUAUUGUUUAUUAAUAAUUUAACAGAGGAAACCUGACAGGAUUGGUCUCUUGGUGAUACAACAAUAUGAAUAUUUAAUAAUGACAUGAUGAUACAUUUCUAUUAACACAGCUGGCAUUCUGCACUUAAGAAUGAUGGGAUAAUAGUUCUCUUUAUGACUACACAGUGAUUAAUCUAUUUAUGUAAUAGGUGAAUGUUCAAAGCUACAGUAAACAGUACAGAAAAGGCAGUGUAUUAUGACCAAAGUGGCAGAAAUCCCCAGUGAUUUUCCCAUAAAGUACUGGUAUUUGUGGACUGUGAAAGGUCUAUUUUCUCUGAGUUAGAUCUUUGCCUGUGCCAUUUGCGUGUACCCUCUCCUACUGCUUAUUCAUACUUUACUAGCCUGAAGAGAAACGAAAUAGAAGCUCUUUCUUUGCCAUGCAGUUAAUUAGCUGCUGGGGCAUUCUCUUCAAUGAUUCAAGUGCACUCUGUCCAAGAGGUUAGUCUGACCCUGCUCAUCAUCACAUAGCAUCAGUGUUGAUGGUUGCUGCUUUUUACCUAUUGAAAACUCAUCUUUCAGUACUUGGGUGCCAGUAUGGACUGACAUGACUCUAUCCUGUACAGGAUUUCACUUCUCCAGUGAGUACAUCUCUUUUAAAUCAUAGAAUCAUAGAAUCCUUUGAGUUGGAAGGGACCCUUAAAGGUCAUCUAAUCCAACUCCAAAUCUGAAUGGCAAUUCUACUGAGUUUUAAACUGCUCAUUUAUAGUUUUAUGACAAAGAAACAGCAAAGGAGUCAUGCAAGAGUUUAAGCUAAGGAUGGACAAAAAGAUUCAGAAAGCAUAGGGACACUCCAUCAUAACUCCUAAAUAACUCCUAAACUUUUUGUGGAAUGCAAACAUCUCCCUAGGCUGCGUAGAGAAAGGGAAAGAGGAGUCUGAUUGCCAGCAGCUCAGUCUUCCUCCUUCUCUUACUUGCUCUGGCAGGUGACAGGAGGAAGGCUCAGCAGCACAGUUCAUAAGUACCUGCCCCAUUGCAUCUCUUCCAAAGUCCUUAAAAUAUCACCUGGGGAAAGUCCAUUAACCUGAUUCCACAUUAGAAAAGAGAGGAAGAUUAUAAGUUGUUCCACUGGCUGCUGUGGGAGACUUUAUGGAACAGGAUAUAGAUUGCUAAAAUUAAGGAAUCUUAAACUCCCCAAAAUUACUGGGAGGAAGAGAAAAAACAAACUUUGUCGUUCUCUUUCUCUCUUUUCCAUUUAUUAGCAUUUUCUUACGUAUAAAGUUGUGCAGUUGACAUGAACAGGAAACAAUAUAUUUUUACCUUUAAAAUACCUAUUUGAUUUGCCUAUAAAACUCAUUAUUUUCUUGUCUUCCUAAAUGGUAUUGAACACAGGUUUUUGAAACUGGACCUGAUUCAGGUCAUAGUUGAAAAUUUGUUUAAAGUCUUUUUUCUCUCAAUUCUGUGUUUGAAUUUAUGUAAAUGACAAAACCAAGUCAUCAGUUUGUAACUUUAUGAUCAAAAGUACUGCUUUUUCUCUGCUUAUUUUUCUUACUUUUCUGUUCAGAUCUUUGUUCAGUAACUCAUGCCAGUUCUCAGUAUAUUGGAGCAGAAGUACUCCAAUUAAAUAAGGCACUUUUCUACAACCGUGCCUCAAAAAUCUGUGCUGGUGAGUUCAAGUGGGGGUAAACUGGGCAUUGUACAGCAAGGACAGGCAUGCUCUCAGCUGUGCACAGAGACAUGGAACUUGUUCAGUGCGGAAAAGCAGGUAGUUUAGCAUAUACAUAGGUUGAUACACUUAAUACAAGGCCUGCUAUAUACUGCCUCUGAGCUGCUUUGAAAUCUGGGGCUCACAGGCUUAUGCUAGCAAUGCAUCUAAUAUAUGUGCAAACAUAAAAGUAGUCUUUCCCUCCCUUUCUUCUCAACUUAGAGGAAUAUUCUAAUUAGUUAUUGCAGGCAGGAGAAGAAAGGGAAGAAAUUUGGAACAAGGGAAAUAUGUGACUGUUGACUUUGCAGUAGCCCUGUCAAAAAAAUGUAUUCUACUUUUAAUACAUACCAUUUGGAAGCAAAGCCCCUUUUAAAAUGCUUCAGAACUCAUGUCCUUUUUAAUUGCCUGGAAUUCAUGAUGGCUGUGUGAGAAAGCCAUAAACAUAUACAAUCAUAAAAACACAUUUAGACAACCCAAACAGAAUCAGUGCCAUAUUAUUUUAGUUUAUUAUUCCUAGUGGAGUACAGAUUGGUCUUCCUACUUUGAUAUUUAUUUAUACCAAAGAACUACAAGAACAUAAAUGCCACUCUUGGGAUAAUCCUAAUGCUGGGGCUGAACAGAACACACAUUGCAUCUGUCUCAUUUGCAGUAAAGUGAAGGCGUGUUUAGGUGUAGUCCUGAUAAUGAAGGACAAAGUUGAAGGUCAAAUGUAGUCUUCAAAAUGAAUGUGUCAUCAUGAAACUGAGAGAACUGCAUUAAGAAGUUUUCUUAAAAUAUCAAAUAAUGAAGAAAGGGAAAGGAAGAUGUAUCUCUUUGGUUUUAUUAUUCCUUUUUCUUUGAAGCCACUUAAGGAUUCUGCUCAAGACUUUAGUGCUCAUAUGAAAAAUUAAUGAUGGGUUUUUGCUAGACAGAAAGCCUUCUUAUUUUGCACAUGAUUAACAAAGAAAACUCAAUGCACAAGUGAGAUACGCAGCAGGGGGUGGUUCUCUCGAAGGCCAGCUCACAGCUUCACACCAGAACAUUUAUUGACAUGGGAAAAUACCCACUUUUAUCCAAAGACAGUUAAACAGAUAGGAUAUGUGCAGGGCUGUACAUAAGAAUAACAAGGAACAGAUACUCAACAAAGGAAAAUGUCAACCAAAAUAAACAAACAGCCUAGCAGCAGGCUGACCCUGCACCAUGCCUGUGGGCUGUUUGGAGUCUACUGCAGAGCCAAGUGCAAUGUUAGUGUUUGCUAGUUAUUGUCAGGAAGUAGGUUAUCAGCUGAAAGGCUGGAGGGUGGCUUCAGACACUCUUCCCAUAGCAGAAGAAAAGCCAAGGCCAUGUAGGCAGAAUGUAUAAGCCAGAUCUCCACCCUAUUCACGUGCUCCUUUGGUUUGAUGUUCCUCACCUACAAAGAUGUCCUUUGAGAGGAGCUAGGGUACUUUUCUCACAGGUCUUUUCCCAUAUGUAAUAUCACAGCAUAAGGCCGUGUGAGCUUGUCCAACUCUAAGCAGCCUGGUUCCUGUGUAUUCCUUUCAAAUUUUAAACCUUCUUGUUUUUGUCUAGUCAGCUAACUUGGAGUAUCUUCUGGGGAUUCAGAAGGGCCAUCAGCUACCAGCACUCACAGGAAGAAAACCAGCCAAACAAGAUAUAAUUUUUACAAGUUUUAAUGGAAGUGCAGUGAGCUUUAUUCCUUUUAUUCAUUAGUUGUGUAUAUUUAUGAUCUGUUCCCUAGUAAAGGAGGACUUUAUAAAUAUUUGUUAAAUACAUUGAUGCACUACAAAGAGUUGAUUGGGGUUACAAAACUCAGGUCAGACUUAGAGUUUCAGAUGUCAAACAGGAAUAAAACAGAUCACCCUGGGUGAACUGGUCCAGAAAGCUUUUUUUUUCCUUUUCUUGUUAUGCAGACCAAUGGAAAAUGAUCCCCUAAAAUACUGCCAUCAUGACCUACAAGCUAUGUUUAUCUGCAGGCUCAAAAAGAAAUUGUUAGCUUUGAAAGUACUAUGUAUAAUUAUAUAUGAAAGGUGCCAAAUUAGUGUCAAAUGAACAAAAGUGACGUUCCAGAAAGCUGAUUUCAUUAAAGCUUCAUUCCUUGUAGCAAUAAGGAAAGUUUCCCAUGCUAUUUGUAGUGCCUCUUGCUUCUGAGGAAAGGAGAUGUGGUGAAUGUUAAAGCUGCUAAGAACUUCAGAAGGAGGCAAGGUAGUGUUUAUUUUGAAUAAUAAGUUGUUAUCUCAGAAUGAUAGAGAAUGAGUUAUAUUAGAUUUAAAAAGGCAUUAAGCUUCAAAUAGAGCACCUGAUAGCAGCACUUAUGAGCUUUUCCAAAAGGCUGCAUGUUUUGUCUAAUUUAGUUAUAAUUUGUUUGUGUGAGCAGUGGAAUUAUCAACAGUGGUGGCACUGAAGUGCAGUGAGUGGUGUACAGCUACAGACCCAGAGUGGCUGAAUGACUGAAGUGACCAACUGCCAUUUUCACAACAGUUAUGUGGCUUUCUUUCUUGUGGAUUUUUAGAUCAGAUCCCUGCAGGAACAGAAUGAGUGGAGUUUUUAUUUUGUUAUUAUGAAUGUUUUGAUAUUGCAGUAAUGAUUUUUUGAUAUGUGAUAAUAAAACCUUGAGAUUAUAGUAGUGGAAGCCUUGGAGUAGCUUUCAUAAUCUAUCGAUUUUGUGUUUCAUAGUGGUGAUUUUUUUUUCUUUGUCACCAUCAGUUGUUUGGUUUCUUUAUUUUUGUGGAUAUUCUCUCAGUGUUUUUGUCUAGCAGCAAGUGCUGCUACUUACAAAGGAUAUACAGAUGUUUACAUUACCCUAUCAAUUGCUACUAAACAAAUGCAGAGCAGCACAGCCCGAGUUUCAUACUACAUCAUCAUAUUGAGUGGGAGCUUUGCUUCAGAAAAAAGAAAGAAAAAAAAAGGCUCAGACCCUAUCUGAGAGCAGGUGGGGUGUUUUUGAUUGGUGAGAUUAUAUUACAGUCUGUAACUCAAGAUUUAGGCAAACAGUAUGUUUAAAGAAUUAAUAUAAUUCGUACUGCUCAAUUGUAAAAUCUCAACAACAGAAAUUGUGUUGCUGAACAUCCUGAAGAUGACAUAAUUGUAACUACAGCUGCAAAGUGCAGAACCAGAGGCUUGCCUACAAGAGCUGUGCCCUGUGCUCCUUGGAGCCUCUUGCUGAUGGAUGCCACCAGGCAUCCCUAAUGCACCCUCACCAGCUAAGAUGCAGUUGCUGCACUGGCUUGUCCAAACAGCCUUGUGCUGAUGAGCAGCAAUAGUGGAGUGUUGGUUUGUCCUUUGGCUGCUGCUGAAUGCUCAGUAACAGUGGGGAUUUGUGUCUCCUUCCUCUCUGUCACUGAAGGGAGCAAUGCAAAUAACUUGUGAGAGAAAAGCAAUAUUAUGUUUAUUGUUGCAAGAUACCUGUUUAACAGAAUAGUAAUCAUAAAUAUGACACUGACAAGAUGGCAGGGUUCACACGAAACCAACUGUAUCUGGGGGUUAAGUUAGUUGCACACCUAAGGAUUUCCCCCUAUUAGAUUGCAGUACUCAUUGCAGUUAUGUUGGCUGUCAGCAGAUGAUUCUGAAACUUCAAGGAAUCUUCCCUGAGAAGGCUCAGGGGGAGCUCCCAAGCCACAGCCUGCUGUGGUCCCAGAGAGCUCCAAGAGGUCUUGCUUAGAGUCACUAUUUAUAGGAUCAUGAGAUGAUUGACUUUUAGAGAGUAGUUUUUCAUUAUUUUGGUCCUUUUUGAUUUUUGGCUAUGACAUAGCCAAAUGUCUUAGCACGUAAUUGCGCCUUCAUCAAUUAGCCACGUCACCAGAGCUCUGGAUAUGGUUGGGCGAGGUCUGAUCAUCCCAUGCCCGUAGCCUAUAGCUAGCUGGGGGAUGAUGCAGGAUCAGGCUCCAUCAUACUCUGUAGGUAACAGGAAUGAUGCUGUGAUAGCUUGUAGACUUGCUAUAUAGAGAAAAAAGUAAUAGUCUUUUGUGAGAGCUGCUCCACCACACUCAACUCAUGAAUUCUUGCAGGUAUGCAUUUAUUUUUUGAGACAUGCAAUGCUUUUGUAUUUUGGCUGAAAUUUUCUCACACGAUAAAAUGUUUCUUUGAGGCAGUAUGAGAGAAAAACAAGGACAGACAGACAGACAGCAGUGACGUGACCCUCAUUUCCUUAGGAAACCAAGCUAAAAAAAAAACCUAACCCCAGACUCUUUGCUGAGGGCUCCUGCUGUCAUAUACUGUACUGGUUAAACCAACCAGGAGAGGAGGCUGGCAUCAGGAUCCCUCCCCCAGAUCAGGCCUAGAACAGAGAGCAGAGAUUUCGAUUUCUGUUAUGUGCAGCAGCAGGGAGGUACAGGUGUGGAGCGAGCACGGAAGACGAAAGCCAUGCUUCCUCCCAGGGCCAUGCUCACCUACAUGCUGUAGUCCCUGAGAGGCAAUUUGUAAACAUUUAGGUGGGUGUUCAGUAUCUGCAUGACGUGACUCUAAAGCUGUAUUGAAGCUCUCCAGUCAAUUCACCAGUGACCUUGAGAGAUCCUACUGUGUGUGCUGGUGAUCGUGUAGUUGAUGUAUUUCCAUACGAGGCACUAAACCCUUCCGUAUUGGAAAAGUCAUUUGGUCUGUUAGAACUUGCAUGAAAAAAUACAAAUAUUUCAUAAGGACAACCUGGCAGAUUAUUCUCAGGCUAUUGAUUCCACAUUUUGUUCUGCUGAAAACCUGCUGCUAAACAGACCUCCCUACUGGAGAGACUGAGCAAAAUGGCCAUUAGAUGGAGAGGCUCUAGGGAUUUAUUGAUUAGACAUGAGAACACUAAUCAUGCAAUAGCAAAGAUCGAGCAUGCUGUUGUGAAGACUAUUUGCAUAAAAAGCUAACAUUUGAGUAUUGGGAAGCUAGAUGCUGUCAGAACAUUAACAUUAGCUGUCCCAGAUCUGGUCAUAUCCCUUGCUACAUCCAGCAGGGCAGCCAGUUCCUCAGGCUUCUCAUUUUUCAGCAUCUAAACAAACAAUAAGUUAGCAAAUAUAUUUGCUGUGCUAGGUAGAUAUUGAAAAUGAAAAUCCUAUCUCCAGCAAACCUACAGGAUAUUGUUUUGCCUCUCAAGUAUACUUGAAAAUAGCAUCAAUUUUGGAUUUUUGAAAUGGCUAACGAUUUCGUAUGACUCUCAUAAUCCAGAACUCAGUUUAAUUAAUUUCAAUCGGUUCUUGUAAUCAAAUUCUUGUAAACUUUCCUUCCUCCUGACAAAAUGCUGAUGUCAUCUUCAAGUAUUCCAAACGCAAAAAUGAGGAGGCCCUUAGAAUGAAGUGCAAAACUUUUCUAUGGUUUAUUCUUUCCCACUUCAGCCCUCUGAUUUUUUUUGAUGCAGUUCAUCAAGGAUACAGACUAAAAAUGAGGAUAGAAUCUUUCUACACUGUUUAUAGAUAAAUGCCAAAUUUUACACACAUUUAUAUGUGCCAUUUAUAACUCCAAGCUUUAUGACUUAAAAAAACAAACCAUGAAAUUUUAACACUCAUCAUCAAACCAGGCAACACUUGUAAGCUGUGUUUGCCACAAAACUUACCUGUAUGAGAUACUCUGAAGUUUCCACAUAGAUGAUUUCUGUCUUCUGUCAAUGUCAGCUAGUAGGGUUAGUCAUGAAAAACACCCACAAGUGUAUUCAUUGAGGACUUCACUUGAAGAACAGUGUAGAUAACCAGAAAAUAAAAUGUGCUACCAGAAAGGGUGUAGGUCAUCGGGGGGCCCUAACCACGGGCUCUGAGCAGAGCUCUGAAGAGUGUGCAGGUGUUUGUCAGACAGGGAAAAGUCAGUCAGAGAAACAAAUGGAGGAAGGUUGUGUAUUUCAUAUCAUGUGGUCGGCCUUUGAGAGAGGUGCAACCUUUGUGUGCAAUUGUUAAGCACCACUGGUGAAAAUGCAUAGCUAAUGGUGGUGACUAUGUUGAAAAAUGGUCUUUUGUAGCUGAGUCCUACCAAAAAGGGCUAUUGUGCUCUCUGUGUCUGUUGUAAUUUCCAUGGAAAUAAACGGGAGGCAUUACUUUCGAAGCAACCUCCUCAGAUGCCCUUGUGUAGCCACCUUGCAACCUUAACCUAAAUAUCCACUACCUUUUCUAGAAGCAUCUAGAAGUAGAUGCUGAGACAAAGAACUUAGUAUUGUUUGUGCUAGAGGCUGGAGUCAAGGAAAAAUCUGGUCUGUAUUUCUGUACACAUUUGGAUGCAAAUGACACCGGCCCAGAAUUGCUGGAGCUUCCUGUGCUGCUAUGCUCUGAGGCAUGUUGGAAACAACCAGUUCUGAAUGAAUGUAUGAAGACACUGCAGUGCCCAUGAUGUAGCUCCUCAAGUGCAAUAUGGCUUUGUUUAUAAAGGUAGAAAUCAAGAUAACCCAGACUGAGCUCUUUAUUAGAUUAGACUCCACAUGACUGUGGUACUUUGUACCUGGAGACUACAAGUCUCAAUUCCUUGCAGAUGGAAUUCAGCAAGGUAUCUUAAGGGCUGGUACCUCCACAAGGUACUUUACCAGGUAGGGUUCUGAAACUCAUCACUCCUUAAACGCCUGCUUGGCCUGCUGAGGGACUGGAGGAUUCAUUCCACAUCUGAUAAGAGGAAUCAAAUUGUCUGUUCAGUGGGAUAAUCUUUCUGUUGUCAGGAUGAAAAAUCUCAGAGGACUCAUGCUCAAUGGUCUUGUAAUUAAAUGUUACACACUUGAUGAGCAUUGCAUUGCAAGCCUCAAGGCUAAUUUACAUGUUACCACCAAAAUGUCUUAUUUCAGUUUGCUUGUAAAAAUACUGUACAGGCAUCGUUGCAUGUCAUUGCAAAUGGUUUGUUUCAGUGAUGCUUGGGUAAGCCUCAACAUUACUAAAAGCUGUACAUAAUUACUGCUAAAGAGCUCUGUACAGAACCAAUAAUACUUCCCCCACAAUAGCUGUUUUAUUACUGAGAUGGCUUUCCUGAUGUGACCGACAAUGCUAGGAUCAGAAACAAGCAGCCUGCCAGCUAAUAAAGAAUAGCAUUUUGGGGAAACAAAGUAGUUUGAAUCAAUUAUGGUAUUAUGUACAUAAUUAGAGUCUGUGUCACUUUUCCAACAGUUGCCCAUAAUUCACAACAGUAAGGCAGGGUAGGAGGAAGGGGAGAAUAAUGACAGUAGAUAGAAGAAAGUUGUAUGAGUAGCCAUGGGUCUGAUGAUGUUAUAACGUAUUUACUAGCACAUUUACAUGCUUUAUGUUGUAGAAGUUACUCUUAGCGAUUUGGGGCCACGACUCAUGUCAGUGUAUUCGUGAUGGAUGAGUGAUGAGAGAAAAAGCUUCUCGAGCCUCCAGGAUCCAUUUAGCACACGUAGCUUUCUCAGUUCCUUGUUUUGAGAAGGUCAUCCCACAAGUAACAUUUCAACAGAGGCAUAUCAGAUGGACCGAACUGAGGUUUCUUGCCAUUCACAGUUUCUUUAAUACUUAUUUGACUGACUUCAAAGCGAUACUAAAGCACUGCAACCAUUUAUUGGAAUAUAUUAAUAAUAAUAAAUCAGAAUUUCAUUCACUGAAUUCAAGCUUUUAAGAAAAAAAUAACCUUGUGUAGAAGCAGAAAAAAGGCAGAGAGAUAUUAGAUGACUUACCCAGUUUGCAGCAAUGCGAGUGGGAGAAUAAGAGACAGACACUCUGGCCCCUGUCCUUUCUUCCAAAUCAUGUUUCUUGUGUUUGUGCCACAGUGAAAUGAUUUUGCAUAUGUCCUGUCUUGGAAAUAUGAAAAAUAUAUGCAAUAUGCAAAGCAGCCGAUGGGUCUGCAUUUCAGAAUCUAUCAUCAUUUAGGAAGUCUUGAAGCCUAAAGAGAUUGCAUGCAACUAAUUGCACACAGUCCAAGAGACUAGAGCACAUUACUGCCAAUUUGUAAACAAAACCCAGCAUGCAAAAGUGCUUAGGCCAGUGGGGUGAGUUUCCAUCGAUAAAGGACAGGCAGUGUACAAAUGCAACGCAACACAAUUCUUACACUUCAGCCUUUAAGAAUUGUGCUGACCCUCCAACAAAAUGGAGUAAUGCAGAGUCACUGAAUGCAGCUAGGCUUCGCCACUGGUAAAUAUUUUACAUAAUCCAAACGAAGAAAUCCAUGAAAACGCUGAAAGAAUAAUUAAAAGUCAUCCAGUGCAAAAAGUCCUUUAAGAUUUAAAUCCUGGCAAACACAUAAAAAUGGAUUAUGUUGGUAAACUGUGAAUCAUUCCAAACGUGGGACUGCAAAGCAAAACUCCCAUUAUUUCUUGAUCCUGACCAUCAAAUGAUCUUUGUUAUGAAUAUGCUCAUCCUGGUGGCUGGCCAAUACCUGACUUGACUCCUUAUCCAAUGCUGUCUAGCUCCCUUUGUAUCACUGCUGCUUCCAUCCCAUAUCUUACUGUUCCCCUCUGUUAUGUUCAAUAAACAUAAUAUGCUUGGUGCCACUGCUGAUCUGCUGAGCCAGUCAGUGUCCAGCUCAGUGACUCAGACUUGAUCUCAGCUUCAAAAGAAAAAUGACGAUGUCUGUCUUUCUAGAUUUGAACCCCUCCAGUGAGUAGUAUCACAGAUGUGAUAUGGAUGCUCAGUAAUUACUGAAACAGCAGUUUGUCACAAGCUGCUGGGGGCACUGAUGGACUAGUGCUCUGUGGCUAUAGUUAUGGGAAGGAAGAUGUAAGAAAAUAUGGUAAUUGUGACAGGCUCAGCUUAGUGUUGUUUGGGUUUUCUUUUCAGGGAUAAAACGUUCAUGUGGAAGCCACGCAUACAGAGAGCUAGGUACCUAUUUUAAUCUGUCGUUCUUUCCACCUCUAUGAUAUUUAAUAUACAUGCAAAAAUUAUUCUAAUGUAAAUGAGAAUCUGGGCCAGGCAGUGGCCACAUCUACGCUAAGCGCAAUUUGUAUCUCUGAAGUUCACAUACAUCAGCAGUUUCCUAAACAAGUAGAUUUGGCUCUUGGGGAAGAACAGAACAGCCUGCAUAUCCCAGCCACCCUCCACACCGGUGCCACUAGGGGGUCCUUAUGAUGCUGAAUAAAUAACAAAUCCCUUCUCCACAGCCGUGAGCUUUGUAGCCGAUCCAGAGCUUACUGCAGCAUGCAGGCACUUCCCUGUGCCCUGUGAACAUGAAAAAAACCACAGAAAUCUAAAACUUCACUCUUUGUGUAAACCAGCUCUGCUUUUUAUUCUUUCUCUCCUCUUAUCUUGUAGUGCAAAUGCAGCUUCAGAAAUGAACAAGAACAUCAAAAUCCACAGAUUGUUAAGUAAAUUCAAGACUGAGAGAGGAUGAAAGGAAAAUAAAAAUGGACCUGGAGCCUGAUAGGCUUUGGAUGAAGCUUUACAAGAGUUGCAAAGGAUGCUGCUGCAAUGGGGACCCAUCUGGGGUCGACAGGCUCGACUUGCUGCACAGCCGAAAAAGCAGUAUUUAGAGGUGGCAAUGCUCUGCGUGGCUCAAGCAUUAUUAAUAGCACUUUGUUUCAUAGCUUCAUAGUAUUUAAACCAUACUGUUCCCAUUACUGAAGACAUUUUGUUUUCUGAGAUCUAUCUGUCUCCCCCAAAGUAAAACAUUAUAUUUCCAUCCAGCAUUUUUUUUCUAAGUUUCACUUGACUAGUAAUAGGUUUCCUUGAAAAGCCAUCAGUGAAUUUAUGGCACAAAGAGCUACGUCUCUCCAGCCUUUAUUAAUUCAGACAUACAAAAUCUAAGCAUCUACAUGUUGCGGUUGUUGUUUGUUGCGCUGCUGCAAACUGAUAGCAUUUCACCAAAAAAGCUCUCGUGUCUGCAGCUAUCCUAUUUUCUCUCGUGUCACUCAAGCGAACCGCCUUGCAGCUCACCCGCACCGAGGUCGGAGCAGAGCCGCAGGAGCCUGCAGAACCCACAGGGGGCUGUCGUGCCAGGCACCCGCUCAGCCCCCGGGACCUGUGGGUGAGGAUGCGAGCAGAGCUUCCCAGCACUGCUGGGAGCCAAACGGGCUUUUGCCUGAGUGAGUUCUGGGGGAUGGGGCAUUCGUUCAGAGGCACAAACUCCUUCAAUACUGGAUGUGCUCAGAAGAUGGAAAUUAGCAAUAUUACAAAUUCAGAAAGCAGCAGACGAGCUUGUAACGUAGCGAAUAGGAGCUCACCCCUCUUUUUGAGCAGCUGCUCCCAACGCAACAAGCCCUCUGACCAGUGCCACUGUAGCCUUUGACCUUAUUCAUUAGAGAUAUUCUGAUGUACUGUGAGCAGUAUGGAACAAUGUUCAUAUGUUCGUUUAUGGGUUAACCCUAUCCUUAUUAGAUUUGUACUUUCCAACCUGAAGUUAUAAAAGUUUGGCCGGCACGCAGGGUUUUGCCCUCCCUUUCUGCUCUCUCAGCCACUGAAGUAAUCUCAAGCUAUCCUUUUCAACUGAACUUUUUUAAGUGUUGCUUUUAUCUCUAGUUGCCAGUGUCUUUAAGAACUUAACCCCUAUAUCUCUUACAGCCAGCUCUAGCUUCUGGAAAGCAAGAAGACUUCUACUUCCUGCACCUGUUGCCAGAUUCACUGUGGUUUCCCAGCACUGAAGAACCAGUGUGUACUGAGCAAUACUGAUGCUAUACUGGGUUACCAAGGGGUAUGAAGAUGUGAUUAGUCAAUGUCACAAAGAUUUUGGAGAGCAAAACAGAGGAGGAGGAAAGAGUAAUACUUCCUUUAGCCUUCAUCUUCUGCCUUCCCGUGACAUCUGUCCUGCACGAUUUGCGGGCAGUCACAGUGUGCACUUCCUUCUCCUGCAGAGGCUCUGCUUCUUUUGGAAAAGGCUUCCACAAGGAUACCAGCAGCAUUAAAAUCUCACUUGGUCCACUUGUAUUUUUUUACCAGCCCUGUUUGAUUGCCCUAGAAAAACAGGGAAGAAUAUUUUCCUUGCUCUCAAGAGUAAAGUCCUCCAUUAUCAUGUCAUGAAGGGAAACGGACUGUUUGGUAGCUAAGGAAAAAUGCUGACUUCAAACCUGAGAUAAGGUUCUAUCAUUUACACUAAUGAGCUCACUGGUGGCAAAUCUGUAAGAUUUUAUGAUAAAAAGUAGCUGUAAGUCAGUAUUUGAUGGAAUUUUCUAUUUCUUCUUCUUCUUCUUUUUUUUUUUUUUUUUGCUGAAAAUACAUCUAACUACUAAUAAUUUUCCCAUCCAAAUCCGGGGAGGAAUAAAUGCAGUGAGAAUCAUCCCAGACUGAGUUCAAAGAUUUGGUAAGUAACCCAUUAUUUUAGAGAGUUAUUCUCUAACCUAUUAUUGAUUUAUUAACCUAUUUAUUGAUCUAAAUUCUGCUGGGAAGGCUGUGAACACAUUUGACUAGUUGACUAAUGAUUGAGUUACUCAGAAGGAGGGGAUCUUAAUGAAAUAUUAAUAUUAGGAUUUUAAUUGCUGAUGACUUAUGGUUAACAGUUGAGCCUCCAGAUCUGAUAGUCACAUCAUGCCAGAUUUUGAUUUCUGAUGGAAACAUACUCUGAGGCCGUAUAUCCAAUAAGUGCUAUGAAAAAGGUAUCUAAUACCCUUUGCUGGUAUAUUCUGCCUGAGCACUGACAAACACUAAUGAAAUCUAGUUACUGUAGGUUACAAAGACCGAGACUGUUCUGUUCAGAACCAGAAUGGGCAAAUCCAGCUGGGGAGACCAACCCUGCUAUGAAACUGGUGUAAGUGGAUGCAAGCAAUAGGGUGACAGUAAGCAGAGGAAAAAGAGAUGUCUUCAGUUGAAGGGCUGGAAAACUCUCACAGUUUGGCUUCCAUUGUGAGACAUGAAUGAAAUUCUGGCGAUUUUUCUCUCUCCCCUCUGAUUUUUUUCCAGCCUACCUCCCGAGUGUGAGAUGUUUAGACUUCAUAGCAUCCCUGGUUCAAUGCCUGGAAAAGCUGGCCAGAGCUGCAGUACAGUGCAGGGACUUCCUUGCAUGGCCACUUUCCCCUUGUGCAGGCAAGAAAUAAGUCCUUACAAAAUAUUCCAUGUGCUGGUUGUGCCUCUGCAACCUUGUUUAUGGAUAGCUCUGCUUUUGCAGUGAUCUCUUCUCCUGAGAGUCAUGGGUUUAACUCAUCACUUUGAUAGCAAUUUGGGAAUGGGUGUUGGGUUGUAUUAGAGGUACUAGUCUCAUAGUAGAAAUAGCAAAAAAAGUAAACAAUGAGCAUGAAGACUAGGAUAUGGGUUUACUGCUGUUGACGACAAAAGGACAGAUGAAUUGGAGAAUGUAGGGGAUAGCAGAAAAAGAUAACAGAAAAAUGUUUGGAAAUAAGAGGGAUGGAUGUUCUAUAGGCUUACUGACAUUUUUUUUUACUCUAUGAGUCCUGUAAGAUGCUGGCAAUAUAGGAAAGCAAGACAAGCUGACAAAAAGAUUGGUCUGAGAGACUGAGAAAUGGCUGUGAAGCUGGUUUGGUAUGCAGGUGAUCACAACUACUAUCAUCUUUCAAGAAAAACAUGUUUUUCACAAAAAGAUUGUCAAACCUGCAGCUCUUGUUGUGCAUCUCUGUCUUCAUACGGCUCUUAUCACUGCAAGAUUUGAAUUUCCUAGUGCAUAAAAGAUUGUAUCUAACGUCUUCUUCCAGUCUAGCUUCCCUCCAUGCUAUGCCCAUCACUUUGUACCGAGUACAGAUGAAAUGCUGAAGUGUUGCAACUUUUCUGUGAGAGGAGCAGCCGCUAGAGGGGAGGAUGUACACUGUGAAGUCCCCAUCAGUACCCUGUCACUGAGGCUUCCUCAGUAAGUAACAAAUAAGUAAAUAAAUCAGAAUUUUAGUAAUCAUUUGUAGGCUGUCCUGGUAUAUCCUUUCAGGUAAAAUAUAUUGAAUGAGGUUAUUUUUAGUAUUGCAGUUUCAACGUUUACCUUGAAACACAGCCAAAACUAACGGCCAGGAAAAAAAAUCAUUGGCUAAAUUACACAGAGAAGAUUGGAUUACCUGUUCAAACACAGCUCUUAAUUCUGGAUUUAAAUAGAAUCUCCAAAUACAACAGAACUGUUGCAGAAAAUAAAGCUAGCCAACAGCCCCUAAUAACCCCUAAUUAUUAGUAGUUUCAGUUAAAAUUUGGACAGUGUUGGUCUUAAUUCUUUUAAAUCAGAAGAGGCAGCGUGACCAUGGUAUCCCAUUUACAAUUACAGUGAGCACACACGCUGUUCCAACACAUGCUGGCUUUAGCUGAGUGUUCUCUGGCAAGUUGGGUUGGGGUUUUGCCCUGUUAAAAUACAAUUACCUAUUUGACUAGCAAAUAAUUUCAAUUUGAGUUACUUCUUUGUAACAAUGCACUUUUCUGACAGAAGUGUCUGACAAGAAAAACAGGUCAAGCUCCUGACAUUGGCAUUUUUGCUUGCUUAGGAAUUUUUUGCACCUGAAAGAAAACCUGCUGGUAUCCUAUCUGGGUGACUUUCAUGGCAUCAGUAAAUACCAAAGAGACCUGCCCCUAAAGAAGAUGCUCUCUCAAGGUAAGACUGAAAUCCAAAUUACUUUAAAAUAGGAAAGAAAGAAAAGCUUGGCAAUGCUAUGGAUACAUGGACAAUUACAGCUAUAUAAACCAGAUUGUUUAAUGAUUGUCUCAAGGAUAGUUUUUUCAAGUAUCUUUUACACUGAGCUAAUAUUUUUCUCACUUUUAACUUUAUCCAAUGUAAUGUGUAAAUGGGAGAUUAGAAGUCGAAGACUGUAUUGCAGGCACCCAAUGAAAAGCAGCAGAUGACACUGCCCACAUUGUCUUAAUAAAUUUGUUCUUCAGAAGGUGCAGAACCCAAUAGCCAUGCAGUCCAGUGAUCCUUCGAGGUCAACAGUUUUAUAUUCAUUUACUGCUGCAGUCCCCACUUUGGUAAAGAUCAUCUAUCAGUUUCCCUGUUAUCCUCCUGCUUACAGCUACCUGUUAAGAUCAAAAAUGCUCAUUUCUGAGAUUGAGAUUUGCCACAAUUGCAACUGGAAAACACGAUUUUUUAUUUAAACAUUUUAUCACAAUCUUUGUGGACGUUUUAAAAUACAUCAAAAUACUGGGAAAACACUAAGGUUAUUUUGUUUGAUAGUCUCUGGGCAGAAGUAAGACCUGAAAGCAGAAAGUCAGAACUAUUUUUCAAUAGGAAGCAGGGCAUGAUUAAACUCGGGAACCAACCUGGUUUAAUUGGACCAAAUACAAUUACAGAAUGUUUGGAUAUGAAUAUAUGCAACUGUCUGUCUGGCAGUUAUUCUUGGGUGCACACCUCGGAAAGCUUAUGCACUCUUCAGCUGUUCAUGUUACUGGCUGGGUUUUACCCUCUGUGCCUGCUUUCUCCUACAAGAAGUAACCACAGGAGAAUUCCCUUGGCCCAGUGCUGUUCCCCACUGGCAUCUGAAGCAGCCUGCCUGUGCCAUUCUGUCUUUGCUCUGCUGUGCAAAACCUGUGCUGGCAGGCGCACGGUGCAGCAAGUCUGCAGCCAUUCUUAUUCCAUAGGGAGUGGGCUGACAGAUCGCUGCUGCUGGUUGGGACCCCAACAGCUUAUUUGUUCCUGCUGUGCGCUCUCACUGGACUCGACCUACUCUCUGAGAUACCUUAAUUGCUUGCUGUGGAAGCUGAAGGUGACACUGUAAGCAAAUCACCAUAAACACAUGCAAAUCUCUCUUACAACUGCAAAUCAAACAGUUGAAGUAGUGCACAGUAUAGGUCAGCAAGAGCUCUUUUGCUGUAAAUCUCAUUUUCACACAUCUUCAGACUUUGUACAAGAUCCCAGCAGAUGCUAGGGAAGAGGGGUAUCUGAGGUUUAUAAGGGCAAAUAUGAAUCCCUGAAUUGCCUUUCUGUGGUUCAACUAAUAUGGCAGAGAACAAACUGCAUUUUCAGAACUGUGAACAAACCACAUUUCAUAUAAGUUAUCUGCUUACAGGCCAGACCUUGUAUUUAUAACUUAAGAAGGAUUAAAUCAAAAGGCAAGCAGUCCGUGAAAGGGUGGUUUUAUACACAGCCAGCUAAACUCUUGAUAAAUCGUUCUCUUGAAGGAAAAAAUAAAGGCUUCCAAUAGAUUCUUCUGUACUUGUUUUCAGAGAAGCUUAUGGUGUCUCUCCUUAGAGGCUUUCUUUAUGAGGAAAGCUAGUUAAAUGCCUAGUGAGACUGAGUUUCCAAGGGUGAUCUCCCUAGAACAGGAUUAGGGUUCACUGACAACGUAAUGCAGGGCAGGUAAUGCUGCUGUUGCUCAUGGCUUAAACUGCUUUAUGGCUAAAUCAUAUUUCAGUUUCUAGAGGUAUCAGUUCAGUACCUCUGAGCUUUCAACUUGCUUCUGUAAGGUAAAAAAACAAACAGGUUUUUUGGUCUUCCCGUAUUUUUUUCUGGACUAAAACAAGCAGCUCUCUCACUGCCUGAGCAGGACAGUAACCAGUCCUGAAAUGGAUCAUCAGAAAUUUAUGAGGAUCACUCAAUUAUUUUUUUUCCUCCAGAUUAUUUCCAAGUUGGUGCUUUUCUUCAAGCACAGGUGAAGCAUUAGGGGAGUUUUACAGACUGACAGUCCAUUCUGAAUCUGUAAACCAGAGCAGCCAAGCAGCCACAAAGGCAGCUCAGGGCUAGUUAGCACGAGGUGAAUGGUUCACACGUUUUCUCCACAUCCACAGAAAUGUUUUUGAAAACAAAGCCAAAAAAACCCACCAUAGUUUCAGUCUAAUACCAAUAACAAAUACUAUAGUUUGUUAAUACAUUGAUACUCUUGCCAUUGUAUCUGAACAAUUGCCCUAUUCUAUGUCAGCGACAUUGAUUAACAAAACAGUUUGUAAUUAGAUGGAGUCGUGCAAUUCAUGGCCCUCUGUAAACAUCUGGAUUUGCAAAUCUGCACUCCUAGCUUGGGAGCUCUGUCACACAUCACUAAUUAAGCCACAUUCUUAUAUACCAGUACAUACAUCCUCCUGCUGAGCAUCCUUUCUUUGUUCCCAGUACAAAUAACAGCCUGUUGUCAAUACAGAGAAAACCAUCAUAACUGCCUAGCUCAGCGUGUGACAUUUAAUGAAAAUGAAAUAACAUCUCAUUUGCAUGACUGGCAUUACUUUAUUAAAGCCAGAGCUGCAGAAGCUGGGUGCUACAGUGCAAGUCAAGUGUGCAAGGCUGACAGUCCGUAAGUGCAUAGGAACGAUGGUGUCCAGCACAGGGAGGUUGGCACUCCCCCCUGCCUGUCUGCCCACCUCCUGUUUGUAGGGUAGGGCUUCUAGGAAAUCGACAGAUCUAUUCCUUUUCCCAGCCCCCCCCCCCUCCCAGUCCUUGUUCUCCCUGUUACCUCCAUCCCACGGAGCUGGGAACCAGAGCCCCCCUUGCUUCUCCCAGAGGAGUUCCCCAGAAUCAUCAUGGGCUGGGAUCAUCAGCUCCAGCUGAGGAGGAACCCAUCAGAAGUGCUACAGGAAGCAGCGCAGUAGCACAGGAGCUGUGUCUGUUGUGCAGGGGAAGUGCCUUAAAAGAGGAAUAUUUUUUCAGUGUCAGAAGAACGCAGCUGAGCACUCAGAACUUUGAACAGACAAAGUUGUGCUCCUUCAGUCUGCAUUUCCCUCUGCCAUUUCACCAGCAUUGAUAAGGAAGCAAAAUCCUUAUUGUGGCCGAUUCUGAUCUGCUUUAACCCCUUAGACAUAUUUAGAAAUAACGAGUUUAUGUGAAGAAACUUUCUGAUUCUGACCUUGGCGCCCAGUUCGGCAGCGAUACAGCAGAGAGCAGAAGCUGCCAGCGGGACGGCUCCUGGCAGCAUGUGGGCGGCUCCUCCCCCUCCUUUUCUUUUCACACUUCUCAGUAGAGUUUUUCUUUCUGCUAUCUCCGAUGCCGCUCCGCCCGUCUUCCUUCCCCCGUCUCCUUGCCGCAGUCGCGCUGCCCCCGGCCGCCUCGGUGCUGCUGCCCGUCCCGCAGCGAUACCCGACUCCCGCACGGUCCGAGGCCAUCGGCUACGCGCAACCCGACCCCCGUGCCGCCCCAGCUUUGAACGAUAUUUAACUUCCAGAGAGGAUGCUACCAACUCCAGUUGAUUUUAAUUUCUGCAUACAAGUUUACUUAUGCACGCAUCUGUCACUUAGAAAACUUUUGUCGCAGCGCUCAUAGUUCACAGUGAAUCCCUUCUGCUCCGGUCCGGAUUUGGCGGCACCUCCGGCACGGACGCGGCGCGGGGUCCGUCGGGCCGGGAGCGCCUCUCCGCAACCAGAAGGGCGGCGGGGCCGGACCGGCGCCAGGAGCUCCCUGGCAGCGGGGCGCCGUGCUGCUCCAAGAGGGCUCUGUGAGCGAGGAAAGUUUCUUGCUUACGGCCGGGACCGCGCCUCUCGCUCGAGCCCCUCCGCUCCUGCGGAACGAGACGGCGCGGUCAGGACGUCGGCCCGUAACGCGGGCGGGGCCGGCUGCAGGGAUCGCCGCGCGCCCCGACGGUGCUGCUCGGAGGC
Molecule: long non-coding RNA, 32618 nt
Filed under: Gallus gallus (chicken)
Lineage: Eukaryota; Metazoa; Chordata; Aves; Galliformes; Phasianidae
Description: lncRNA (ENSGALG00010025636.1)
Source: RNAcentral